This 229-nucleotide unclassified non-coding RNA is filed under the name plant metagenome. RNAcentral's name for it is "partial contains small subunit ribosomal RNA, internal transcribed spacer 1, and 5.8S ribosomal RNA". The record is from RNAcentral.
UUUCCGUAGGUGAACCUGCGGAGGGAUCAUUACAGAGUUCAUGCCCUACCGGGUAGAUCUCCCACCCUAUGUUAUUAUUACUUUGUUGCUUUGGCGGGCCGUUAGGCUCCGGCCCGACUACCGGCCCCGGCUGGUAAGCGCCCGCCAGAGGACCCAAAACCCUGAAUAUUAGUGUCGUCUGAGUACUAUAUAAUAGUUAAAACUUUCAACGACGGAUCUCUUGGUUCUG